GCUAUGCCACGCCCACCUCGAUCUCCGCCGCCACCUCCCAGCCCUACCUCUCCGGUGGUCCUGCGCCUCCUCUACCCCGACCUAUGACGGCUCUCCCCCCAUCUUGAUCUUUGCUGAUGGUCCUGCGUCCUCACCACCCUGACCUCCGGAGAAGCUCCUUCAACCCACUUCCUUCCCCGACCUCCGCUGCGCUCCGUUGUUCUUCACCGUGGUGACGCCCCCAUCCCUGCCGGUUGUACGUGCUAGAUUAGGAGGUUUGUACAUGUACGUGUAUAUACAUGUUCAAGUAGAGCUUCGUGAAUCUAAAGGCUUGUAUGAUCAAGAAUCUAUUGACAUCAAUUGAAUCUCACAUGUGUGUGCUAGAUGUUGGAACAAAUACUUCUCUUUUAAUUUGUAUGGAUGUGCUUACGUAUAUAUGUACUAGCACAUCUAGCCGGAACCUGAUUGGGAGGUCAGCUUCGCUACAUCUACACGCCAGUGUCUUCGUGCCAUAUACUUAUAUAUCUAGCAUAUCAAGCCACCAGAGACAAGCAAUACUUUGUUGAGACAAUAACAACAAUAUGAUCGUUUUGUCUAGAUGACAUCGUCCAUGUCUAUUGAUGUGGUUGGCACUCACCACAGCAUGCAUGCCUUGUGGCUAUAUAGCAAGUCAAGGUGCCUAUGCGGGCUGCAAAAAUGGAGGGCGUCGCUGACUCGGAUGUUGUGUCCUGCUUGAGCAUUUCAGUAAUGGGUGUCGGACAUGGACUCCACAUGGAACACUCUCUUUGCCACAUAAGCGAUGGCCUCAAGCCCCUAUAUGGAAGUAUCCAGUCUUGCUAUUCUACCAUUUCUCUUGAAUAAGAUGUACAACUUCAACGGAACACCGACCGCCAGUGCUCCACCUGAGGUACACCAUUGUGCAAUCCACAUGCCAAACCAUGAGUAAAGUAGCAAGCUAUUAUGUUUCAAAAUUUAUUUGGAAGAGCACGUGUUUUGGGAUUUAUACUUUGUGGUGAUCUUUUACUGUGUUCCUUCACCCAUAGCUUCUAUGGUCAUUAACUUUCCAUAUACGGAUAGUCUGCAAAGUUUACAAACAAGAGUGAAAGCAAUAACGAUGGGUGAUGAUUAUGGUAUGAUUGCCGGAUUAAUAAUUCAGUGGAAGAAAGCUAUUUUACUGGAAAAGAUAAAUCCAAUGUUAAACAUAGUACGAAUGUACUUCACCUGCAAAUUUUUCUUAUCAUUCUAUCAUUGCAGAGGUUAUAUAAACCACAAAAUCACACUGCUGGUCACACUAUUGGUCACACUACUAACAACAGGUCCAAAUGAAACCCGAGAAAUUAAAUUGAAAUCUUGGUGACUGCAACAGUCAGCAGGUUUGACAAACAACACACAUUUAUAUUAAUUCGGUAGUUCAUUGGAUAUGAUCUGCAAGAGUUGGCUGUGAUGUAUAUGUUCUGUAUCAGCGCACGGGUAGUUAAUCUGUCAUUUUUGCCAUUUAGUAAAUUCAAGCCCUUAAUAUGAUGCUCUGAAUAUCAUACAAAGUUAGUUUCAGAUUGAUAGUGCACCUCACAGUGAUUUUUAUAACUGAAGUUGAUCAUAAUCAUUGUGUACAGAGCAUUCUAAUGUGGUGUUCAUUAAAUUACAGAAAAUAGAAGUAUGCCUAUUUUGUAACAUAUUGUAGUAAGGUAGCGCCACUUCCAAGAAUCAAAUGAAUUUUAUGUCCGGGCAAGUUUUUCCUCAAAUGUAUACUACACAGGCAUCAGUACUAAUUAAUUGGCAAUUUACUAUGUGUCCUUAACUCCUUAUACAGAAUACAUCUCAUGCCUUUGUAGAAUAAACUUCUCAUGAGUGAAAUUACUUCUGGUGUUCCAAUGUAGCUAGAUUGUAGAGAAACAUGAUAGCAUCUUAAUAAUCCAGUAAGGUAUUUGUCGAGCUCCCAUUGCAUGAUUUAUAGAGAGAUCACAGAGCUUUUUCUUUAACUCAUUGAAAAUUGUUUCGCUUCCAGUAUGUAAUUUGUACAAAAAUCAUCAAAAAUUGUUUCGCUUCCAGUAUAUAUAGUGCACUCCCUCUGUAAAUAAAUAUAAGACGUUUUAUAGAUCACUAAAGUAGUGACCUAAAACUUCUUAUAUUUUUGUACGAGUAAGUAAUAUGUUCCUACUACUAUAUGUUUUUGUCAUUGUUAUGAGAAGAGAUUAAUUAGCUUCUCUGAGAUAUACAUCGUCGAUGUGAUCAAACAUGUGUUACAUGCCAUCUAAUGCAACAUCAUACCACAUCUUUCCAUUUUUCGGCACUUAUGUGCUCUUGCCAUUUGUGGAAUGGAAUUGUUCUCGGUUCAAAAUAAGAAACUACUACAGCUGAUAAGCAGAAGUGCAGAACAAAUAAAAUUGCAUUAUGCUUUAUUUGAAUGUUCACAAUUAUAACUAGCUAUGACAAAAGAUAACUAUACAUGUAUUUUAUUUGGAAGUAGAACUAUACAUGUUAGAUCUCCAAUGGUGUAUCAACCAAAAAACAAUACCACAGAAUCUUAGAAAGCAAAAAGAAUACUAUAUAACUUAUAUCAAGAUAGCCAAUUACUCAUGCUGAACGACAAACAAAAAAUGAUGUACUAUAUAACUGAUUGCUAAGAAAUAAAAGAAGUCCCGAGGUAAUGCUGGAAGGUCAGAAGGAGAAGUGUGAUAAGCUUUGAAUGGAAGCCCCCGUAAACAGCGGCAGUAACUCUAACUGUCCUAAGGUCCAAUUGCGCCCUAGUGAUGGUACUCCUCUUGAGGGAUACCACUCGCAAUCAUAUGAAUAUGUAAAAUGCCUAAUUAUGAGUUUCUAAUUCAAUGGGAAAAAUUGUGAAAAAUUGCCACAUAUUUUUAAUUAGUAUUUUAUUUUCAUGUCGUUUGUUUAAAGUCUAAUAUUUCAAUUUUAGUAUUAGAUUGUGGGGACCACUUUUUUCGUCAAUUCCAAUGAACGUCUAACUGAUAAGUUGGUAAGUUGGUCUUCAUUUUAUAUACUAUAGUAUAGCUCUUAUUUCUUUCCGUUUGUACAUAGUACUAUAUAUACUUCAAAGGUCACUGAGGUUAUUCGAACAUCUGGUGUCCCUCAACUCAUUUUAUUUUAUAUCUUAUUACUGUACCACCAAAUUACAACAUAUAAUGCAUGCAAUAAGGAACUUAUUCAAAGAAUAUAGUAUUUUGUCCUAUGAAAAGUUCAAAGGAGUUGAGAACUUAAUAUGUCUGGAUAAUAAUAAUUUGGAUAUUUUUCUAUAUUAUUAUGGAAAGAAUUUGUAAAAUGAACAUACUAAAAAUGUCACCAUUAUGUGUGUUUUCGUGCUAGCCUGUGCAACAGCACAUGUUGACGUCUAGAUACUGGAAUUAGGUGUAGCGAUAUCACAAACUAAGAUUUGUACAAUGACCGUUUUCAUUUAAUCAGUUGAUCUAACUUCUCCAUCAAAGAUAGUUAUUAAAGAAAAUGAAGAUAUCUCAUUCUAAACUCUGAGUAGUAUGAAUUGCGCCUCAAGAAAUUUAAAGUAAAUUAGUAGCAUAGCGUAAACCAACCAUAAUUUUCGCAAGGAUAUAUUGUAUGAUAUUAUUGCUGACUGAAAUGCUAAUGCAUAUACCUAUAUAUCAUUGGCCUUUAACAGCUUGGACUUAACGGUUUGCAAAAAUGCUACUCCGGUGUAACACUAUGAAUCUAGAGUAGAUAUUUAUUUUCCAAUUUUUAUACUUAUAUUACCAAACUUGCGAAUAUAUAUUUUUCACAAUAUGGCACAUGAGUAAAGAAUUUUAAUUUUUUUACAUGUGAACAUGCAAAAUUGAUAAAUGAAAAUAUGGAAUGAGAGCAUGUAUAAAAGAAAUAAACAUUUGAAUUCAAACAAAAUAGAAAAUCAAACUAAAAUAUACACUAGCCCGUGCGAAUGCACGAGUCGGCGACUAGUUAUGUUACAAUUGUUGAGAGAACUUGCACUAGUGAAAGUAUGAACCCUAGGCCUUGUUUUCAACCAUUGCAAUACCGUUUUCGCUCACUUUUCUUACUAGUUACCAUGCUGUUUUUAUAUUUCCAGAUUACAAAAAUCUAUAUCUACCAUCCAUAUUGCACUUGUAUCACCAUCUCUUCGCCGAACUAGUGCACCUAUACAAUUCACCAUUGUAUUGGGUGUGUUG
Triticum aestivum (bread wheat) is the source of this 4127-nucleotide long non-coding RNA. RefSeq lists it as uncharacterized. The record is from RefSeq and is a predicted model, not a curated record. NCBI's taxonomy places the organism in Eukaryota, Viridiplantae, Streptophyta, Magnoliopsida, Poales, Poaceae. The transcript has 3 exons.